Long non-coding RNA from Hypanus sabinus (Atlantic stingray), 632 nucleotides. RefSeq lists it as uncharacterized. The transcript has 5 exons. Lineage: Eukaryota; Metazoa; Chordata; Chondrichthyes; Myliobatiformes; Dasyatidae. The record is from RefSeq and is a predicted model, not a curated record.
GCAGAAAUAAUAUUCAUUAUGGAAAAGUAGUGUCAGCAAAUUCAGACUACGCAGCAGGAACACCCGGGCAGAAUCAUGUUGUUAUCCCAAGAUAGUUUACUGACGGUUACUUGUUGAAGUAUUACAUUUCGCAAGUCUGUAAGAGCCGCUGUUCUGCUGUAAUCCUGUAGGCUUAUUUUUGAAGACGAAACCAGACAAGCACCGAUCUGGAACGGGACUGUUGGCGCUCUUCUUUGUCCUGAACUGCACACAGCCAUGGAGGACUUCGUGUUAGUCGCACUGCUCAUUUACACGAAAGGUACCCAUAGUUUAUGUGUUCCUGUGAGAGUUCCGGAGAAGCUGAUGGCAUUGUAUGGUUCCUGUGCCGAGAUCUCCUGUACAUUUGGUCACCAGAAGGGAUAUAGAACCGAACGCGCUCGGUGGUUGAAAGGGGGUGGUGAUCCUCUUGGCCCACGAGUGUCGGUUAUCUACGACUCCAGUGAAUCUCAGAAUAUAUCCACGAAUCUCGCAAGCAGCAGAGUCUAUUUUACCGGUGACUUAACGCAGAAUAAGUGUUCAUUACGAAUAAAUAGGAUCAACAAACACGAUGAAACUACUUACAGCUUCAGACUGCGUAGCAGAAACCCCGAUGG